CAGCAUAUGAUAACUGGCCAAGCUAUCUACUCCAUAGCCUGUGUCAAAAGCUUGUGCUAUGUUGUGAUAGCUGGGUUGAAGAAAUGCAAUAUUAAAAAAAAAGCCAUGAGUCUUUUAAGCCCAGUGUGUAAAGACAUACUCUGAGUUAUAACUCAUAGCCACAACU
This 166-nucleotide small nucleolar RNA is filed under the name Castor canadensis (American beaver). RNAcentral's name for it is "Small Cajal body specific RNA 1 (ENSCCNG00000013397.1)". It matches the Rfam family "Small Cajal body specific RNA 1". From Rfam's summary of the family: scaRNAs are a specific class of small nuclear RNAs which localise to the Cajal bodies and guide the modification of RNA polymerase II transcribed spliceosomal RNAs U1, U2, U4, U5 and U12. ACA35 belong to the H/ACA box class of guide RNAs as it has the predicted hairpin-hinge-hairpin-tail structure, conserved H/ACA-box motifs and is found associated with GAR1. It is predicted to guide pseudouridylation of the U2 spliceosomal snRNA at residue U89. The record is from Rfam by way of RNAcentral. Lineage: Eukaryota; Metazoa; Chordata; Mammalia; Rodentia; Castoridae.